RNAcentral lists this ribosomal RNA (467 nucleotides) under uncultured bacterium. RNAcentral's name for it is "SSU rRNA". It matches the Rfam family "Bacterial small subunit ribosomal RNA", at positions 26 to 518 of the family's 1533-position model. The record is from RNAcentral.
AGGACGAACGCUUGCGGCGUGCCUAAGAAAUGCAAGUCGAACGGGAGCAGCAAUGCUCUAGUGGCGAACGGUCGCGUAACACGUAGGCAACCUGCCUCGGAGUGGGGGACAACAGCCUGAAAGGGCUGCUAAUACCGCAUGUUAUUACUUUGUGGCAUCACAGAGUAAUGAAAGCUAUAUGCGCUUCGAGAUGGGCUUGCGGCCUAUCAGGUAGUUGGUGGGGUAAUGGCCUACCAAGCCGACGACGGGUAGCUGGUCUGAGAGGACGAUCAGCCGGAUUGGGACUGAGAUACGGCCCAGACUCCUACGGGGGGCAGCAAUUAGGAAUCUUGCGCAAUGGGGGAAACCCUGACGCAGCGACGCCGCGUGUGGGAUGACGGCCUUCGGGUUGUAAACCACUUUUGCCGGGGAAGAAGCAAGUGACGGUACCGGUGAAUAAGCCCGGCUAACUACGUGCCAGCAGCCGC